RNAcentral lists this ribosomal RNA (253 nucleotides) under uncultured bacterium. RNAcentral's name for it is "partial 16S ribosomal RNA". It matches the Rfam family "Bacterial small subunit ribosomal RNA", at positions 524 to 776 of the family's 1533-position model. The record is from RNAcentral.
UACGGAGGGUGCAAGCGUUGCUCGGAAUUAUUGGGCGUAAAGGGGAGGUAGGUGGUCUCGUUUGUCCGAGGUGAAAUCCCUAGGCUUAACCUAGGACGUGCCUCGGAAACGGCGAGACUGGAGUACUGGAGAGGCUAGCGGAAUACCCGGUGUAGCGGUGAAAUGCGUAGAGAUCGGGUGGAACACCAGAGGCGAAGGCGGCUAGCUGGACAGUUACUGACACUCAACUCCGAAAGCGUGGGGAGCAAACAGG